Molecule: long non-coding RNA, 730 nt
Organism: Daucus carota subsp. sativus
Lineage: Eukaryota; Viridiplantae; Streptophyta; Magnoliopsida; Apiales; Apiaceae
Exons: 4
Source: RefSeq, a predicted model, not a curated record
ACGUCGUUUUGUGUGUAUACGGCGUCGUUCUCUUUUAUUUCGAUUAAAACCCUCCUAACGUCUCGAUCAGUUAUCUCCCCCAGCUCUCUCCUCUCUCCGGUCUUGUCUCUCUCAACUCUCUCUCUCUCUCUCUCAUCUCUGCCGGCUCUCUCUCUCUGUAGAUUUUUGGCUAAUGGGAUGCCUGCCAGGACUGGUGGAAUAUCAUCCGGAACUUCUGUUUCUCAGUUGCUGUUAGACGGGGUUCUGAGAAAAACAAGUAUAUUACAAGAGAUACUGCAAAAAGAACUAGCAGCAAAGAGAAAUCGGCAUAUAUCAUUGUCCCCAAACGAAAUGACCAACAUAUUAUGGAAAAAGCUAUUUCACAUGCAGCAUCAGGAACUAAAAUUGUAGGAGAGGAAAGAGGCAAUUGCGGAGGCGACUAAGGAUGUCACCGAUGGUGAGAGUUCGAAGAAUGACAUUGAUGGGGAUGAUGAUGGUGAUGGAGAUGAGGAAGAUUGAAAUGAAGCUACCUAGCUAGAUGCAUUAUUGGUAGGGAUGCUGAUUUUGUUAAAACAUUGCUUUUGGCUUUUGAUUGUUUAGCUGCAAUGUAUAUGAUUGUUGGCUUUUGACUGAUUGUUCAGCUGUAACAUUUAUGUCGUACUGAAUUAUAUAAUUGUUCUUUUGUAAAUAUAUGAAUGCUUGUUGGCUUUUAAAUUAUGUCAUACUGAAUUUUAAUGGAUAUGAUUCUUGA